RNAcentral lists this ribosomal RNA (450 nucleotides) under uncultured bacterium. RNAcentral describes it as "bacterial SSU rRNA". It matches the Rfam family "Bacterial small subunit ribosomal RNA", at positions 328 to 793 of the family's 1533-position model. The record is from RNAcentral.
UGACCAGACUCCUACGGGAGGCAGCAGUGGGGAAUAUUGGGCAAUGGGCGAAAGCCUGACCCAGCAACGCCGCGUGAAGGAAGAAGGCUUUCGGGUUGUAAACUUCUUUUGACAGGGAAGAGCAGAAGACGGUACCUGUCGAAUAAGCCACGGCUAACUACGCGCCAGCAGCCGCGGUAAUACGUAGGGGGCGAGCGUUAUCCGGAUUCACUGGGUGGAAAGGGAGCGUAGACGGCCAUGCAAGCCAGGGGUGAAAGCCCGGGGGCCAACCCCGGGACUGCCCUUGGAACUGCGUGGCUGGAGUGCAGGAGGGGCAGGCGGAAUUCCUGGUGUAGCGGUGAAAUGCGUAGAUAUCAGGAGGAACACCGGUGGCGAAGGCGGCCUGCUGGACUGCAACUGACGUUGAGGCCCGAAAGCGUGGGGAGCAAACAGGAUUAGAUACCCGCGUAA